CCUACGGGAGGCUGCAGUGAGGAAUAUUGGUCAAUGGGCGCGAGCCUGAACCAGCCAAGUAGCGUGAAGGAUGACUGCCCUACGGGUUGUAAACUUCUUUUAUAAAGGAAUAAUGUGAGGCACGUGUGCCUUUUUGUAUGUACUUUAUGAAUACGGAUCGGCUAACUCCGUGCCAGCAGCCGCGGUAAUACGGCGGGUCCGAGCGUUGUCCGGAUUUAUUGGGUUUAAAGGGAGCGUAGAUGGGUUGUUAAGUCAGUUGUUAAAGUUUGCGGCUCAACCGUCAAAUUGCAAUUGAUACUUGCAGUCUUGAGUACAGUUGAGGUAGGCGGAAUUCGUGGUGUAGCGGUGAAAUGCUUAGAUAUCACGAAGAACUUCGAUUGCGAAGGCAGCUUACUAAACUGCCACUGACAUUGAUGCUCGAAAGUGUGGGUAUCAAACAGGAUUAGAUACCCGUGUAGUC
RNAcentral lists this ribosomal RNA (460 nucleotides) under uncultured bacterium. Its description in RNAcentral is "partial 16S ribosomal RNA". It matches the Rfam family "Bacterial small subunit ribosomal RNA", at positions 338 to 795 of the family's 1533-position model. The record is from RNAcentral.